This 139-nucleotide small RNA is filed under the name Chrysemys picta bellii (western painted turtle). RNAcentral's name for it is "TUC338 (ENSCPBG00000005146.1)". The record is from RNAcentral. Lineage: Eukaryota; Metazoa; Chordata; Testudines; Emydidae.
CUGGCUUUAAAGUCUAUGAGUCUGUGCGUAGCAGCAGUGCAAGUUUUCCCAUAUGGUCCUGCUAAUGUGCCUCAACUCUGAACUGGAGGGACCACAUCUAGGGAUGAGAUGAUAGUUCAGGACCCAAUCCUACUCCCAU